This 425-nucleotide ribosomal RNA is filed under the name uncultured bacterium. Its description in RNAcentral is "partial 16S ribosomal RNA". It matches the Rfam family "Bacterial small subunit ribosomal RNA", at positions 354 to 796 of the family's 1533-position model. The record is from RNAcentral.
GUGGGGAAUCUUGCGCAAUGGGCGAAAGCCUGACGCAGCCAUGCCGCGUGAAUGAUGAAGGUCUUAGGAUUGUAAAAUUCUUUCACCGGGGACGAUAAUGACGGUACCCGGAGAAGAAGCCCCGGCUAACUUCGUGCCAGCAGCCGCGGUAAUACGAAGGGGGCUAGCGUUGCUCGGAAUUACUGGGCGUAAAGGGCGCGUAGGCGGACAGUUUAGUCAGAGGUGAAAGCCCAGGGCUCAACCUUGGAAUUGCCUUUGAUACUGGCUGUCUUGAAUACGGGAGAGGUGAGUGGAACUCCGAGUGUAGAGGUGGAAUUCGUAGAUAUUAGGAAGAACACCAGUGGCGAAGGCGGCUCACUGGUCCGGUACUGACGCUGAGGUGCGAAAGCGUGGGGAGCAAACAGGAUUAGAAACCCUGGUAGUCC